GUGGGGAAUCUUAGACAAUGGGGGAAACCCUGAUCUAGCCAUGCCGCGUGAGCGAUGAAGGCCUUAGGGUUGUAAAGCUCUUUCAGAUGGGAAGAUAAUGACGGUACCAUCAGAAGAAGCCCCGGCUAACUCCGUGCCAGCAGCCGCGGUAAUACGGAGGGGGCUAGCGUUGUUCGGAAUUACUGGGCGUAAAGCGCACGUAGGCGGACCAGAAAGUCAGAGGUGAAAUCCCAGGGCUCAACCUUGGAACUGCCUUUGAAACUCCUGGUCUGGAGUUCGAGAGAGGUGAGUGGAAUUCCGAGUGUAGAGGUGAAAUUCGUAGAUAUUCGGAGGAACACCAGUGGCGAAGGCGGCUCACUGGCUCGAUACUGACGCUGAGGUGCGAAAGCGUGGGGAGCAAACAGGAUUAGAAACCCCUGUAGUCC
This 425-nucleotide ribosomal RNA is filed under the name uncultured bacterium. RNAcentral's name for it is "partial 16S ribosomal RNA". It matches the Rfam family "Bacterial small subunit ribosomal RNA", at positions 354 to 796 of the family's 1533-position model. The record is from RNAcentral.